Molecule: microRNA precursor, 119 nt
Filed under: Hordeum vulgare
Lineage: Eukaryota; Viridiplantae; Streptophyta; Magnoliopsida; Poales; Poaceae
Description: microRNA MIR1122
Rfam family: MIR1120/MIR1122 microRNA precursor family
Source: RNAcentral
UUAAUACUCCCUCCGUCCCAAAAUAACUGUCUCAAAAUAACUGUCUCAAGCUUAGUACAACUUUGUAUUAGAACUAAUACAAAGUUGAGACAGUUAUUUUGGGACGGAGGGAGUAGUAU